UACGUAGGGUCCGAGCGUUGUCCGGAAUUAUUGGGCGUAAAGGGCUCGUAGGCGGUUUGUCGCGUCGGGAGUGAAAUCUUACAGCUUAACUGUGAACUUGCUUCCGAUACGGGCAGACUUGAGGCAUUCAGGGGAGAACGGAAUUCCUGGUGUAGCGGUGAAAUGCGCAGAUAUCAGGAGGAACACCAAUAGCGAAGGCAGCUCGCUGGGACGGUACUGACGCUAAGGCGCGAAAGCGUGGGGAGCGAACAGG
This 253-nucleotide ribosomal RNA is filed under the name uncultured bacterium. Its description in RNAcentral is "partial 16S ribosomal RNA". It matches the Rfam family "Bacterial small subunit ribosomal RNA", at positions 524 to 776 of the family's 1533-position model. The record is from RNAcentral.